RNAcentral lists this ribosomal RNA (292 nucleotides) under uncultured bacterium. RNAcentral's name for it is "partial 16S ribosomal RNA". It matches the Rfam family "Bacterial small subunit ribosomal RNA", at positions 505 to 796 of the family's 1533-position model. The record is from RNAcentral.
GUGCCAGCAGCCGCGGUAAUACGUAGGGUGCGAGCGUUAAUCGGAAUUACUGGGCGUAAAGCGUGCGCAGGCGGUUCGUUAAGUCUGAUGUGAAAGCCCCGGGCUCAACCUGGGAAUGGCAUGGGAAACUGGCGAGCUGGAGUGCGGCAGAGGGGGGUGGAAUUCCGCGUGUAGCAGUGAAAUGCGUAGAGAUGCGGAGGAACACCGAUGGCGAAGGCAGCCCCCUGGGCCGACACUGACGCUCAGGCACGAAAGCGUGGGGAGCAAACAGGAUUAGAAACCCUCGUAGUCC